This 417-nucleotide ribosomal RNA is filed under the name Afipia broomeae. Its description in RNAcentral is "bacterial SSU rRNA". It matches the Rfam family "Bacterial small subunit ribosomal RNA", at positions 29 to 491 of the family's 1533-position model. The record is from RNAcentral. Lineage: Bacteria; Pseudomonadati; Pseudomonadota; Alphaproteobacteria; Hyphomicrobiales; Nitrobacteraceae.
AGCGAACGCUGGCGGCAGGCUUAACACAUGCAAGUCGAGCGGGCGUAGCAAUACGUCAGCGGCAGACGGGUGAGUAACGCGUGGGAACGUACCUUUUGGUUCGGAACAACACAGGGAAACUUGUGCUAAUACCGGAUAAGCCCUUACGGGGAAAGAUUUAUCGCCGAAAGAUCGGCCCGCGUCUGAUUAGCUAGUUGGUGAGGUAACGGCUCACCAAGGCGACGAUCAGUAGCUGGUCUGAGAGGAUGAUCAGCCACAUUGGGACUGAGACACGGCCCAAACUCCUACGGGAGGCAGCAGUGGGGAAUAUUGGACAAUGGGCGCAAGCCUGAUCCAGCCAUGCCGCGUGAGUGAUGAAGGCCCUAGGGUUGUAAAGCUCUUUUGUGCGGGAAGAUAAUGACGGUACCGCAGAUAAGC